AGUGAACGCUGGCGGUAGGCCUAACACAUGCAAGUCGAACGGCAGCACAGUAGGAGCUUGCUCUUACGGGUGGCGAGUGGCGGACGGGUGAGGAAUACAUCGGAAUCUACUUUUUCGUGGGGGAUAACGUAGGGAAACUUACGCUAAUACCGCAUACGACCUACGGGUGAAAGCAGGGGAUCUUCGGACCUUGCGCGAUUGAAUGAGCCGAUGUCGGAUUAGCUAAUUGGCGGGGUAAAGGCCCACCAAGGCGACGAUCCGUAGCUGGUCUGAGAGGAUGAUCAGCCACACUGGAACUGAGACACGGUCCAGACUCCUACGGGAGGCAGCAGUGGGGAAUAUUGGACAAUGGGCGCAAGCCUGAUCCAGCCAUACCGCGUGGGUGAAGAAGGCCUUCGGGUUGUAAAGCCCUUUUGUUGGGAAAGAAAAGCAGCAGGUUAAUACCCCGCUGUUCUGACGGUACCCAAAGAAUAAGCACCGGCUAACUUCGU
This 491-nucleotide ribosomal RNA is filed under the name uncultured bacterium. RNAcentral describes it as "partial 16S ribosomal RNA". It matches the Rfam family "Bacterial small subunit ribosomal RNA", at positions 29 to 506 of the family's 1533-position model. The record is from RNAcentral.